This 441-nucleotide ribosomal RNA is filed under the name uncultured bacterium. RNAcentral's name for it is "bacterial SSU rRNA". It matches the Rfam family "Bacterial small subunit ribosomal RNA", at positions 339 to 796 of the family's 1533-position model. The record is from RNAcentral.
CUACGGGAGGCAGCAGUGAGGAAUAUUGGGCAAUGGGGGAAACCCUGACCCAGCAAUGCCGCGUGCGGGAAGACGCCUUUCGGGGUGUAAACCGCUUUUCUGUGUGACGAGGAAGGACGGUAGCACAGGAAUAAGCCUCGGCUAACUACGUGCCAGCAGCCGCGGUAAAACGUAGGAGGCGAGCGUUAUCCGGAGUUACUGGGCGUAAAGCGCAGGUAGGCGGUGAUGCAAGUUGGGUGUGAAAGCUCCCGGCUAAACUGGGAGAGGUCAUCCAAGACUGCAUGACUAGAGGCCGGUAGAGGGGUGCAGAAUUCCGGGUGUAACGGUGAAAUGUGUAGAGAUCCGGAGGAAUACCAGUGGUGAAGACGGCGCCCUGGGCCGGUACUGACGCUGAGAUGCGAAAGCGUGGGGAGCGAACGGGAUUAGAAACCCCGGUAGUCC